Molecule: transfer RNA, 73 nt
Filed under: Gloeobacterales cyanobacterium ES-bin-313
Lineage: Bacteria; Bacillati; Cyanobacteriota; Cyanophyceae; Gloeobacterales
Rfam family: tRNA
About the family: Transfer RNA (tRNA) molecules are approximately 80 nucleotides in length.
Source: Rfam by way of RNAcentral
UGGGGAAUAGUGUAAUCGGCAACACGUCAGGUUCUGACCCUGAAGACUCUAGGUUCGAGCCCUAGUUCCCCAG